GGCCUGCGGCGUCUGUUUGUGCAGAGCGAGGCCCCGCCGGCCGGGCUUGACGUCAGGCUGGCAGGGCCUGGAACGGCCCCGCAUCGCGGCCCCCUGGGGGCAGGACGACACCGCUGGGGGCCGAGGGCAGGGCACGCCUUCGGAAUCCGGCUUCGAAGCCGGCCGCCUGACCUGGGGCAAGUGCUUUCAACUCUCUGAACUUCGGUUCCUCAUCUGCCAGUUGGCAGACGCUCAGCAAAUCUUCCUAGACUCACGGGGCGAAUUGUACAGUUGGGUAAAUCGAGGCCCAGAGAUGGCAAAAGGACCGUCCAAGGUCGUACAGCCACCCGGAAUUACAAUUCUUUUCUGCCGGGUCACACGCUGUCAUCCACGUGUUACCUAAGAGAGCUUUCCAGCCUGUGCUAAGAAAACUGCCCCACAUCAUCUGCAGUAGGACGGGGGAGUUGGAGCCCUGGUCAGGCCACUCUGCUACUGACCACAGUUUUCUCAUCUCUAAAAAGGCGCAGUAACAAUAUAAUUACCGUAUGCAGUCCCCCAGGAUACAGGGUCAAAGGAGAGCACAACCAUCGCAGUUGGAAGCCCAUGGGGCAGCCCAGUGCAGAUGCAUCUGACUUACGAAACUUCAGUGACACCUGCUCUGUGCCAGACACUGAAGAUGGAGCAGUGAACAGCACUGACCCAGCCUGUCCUCCUGUUGCCUGCAGGCCAGAAGCAAGGUCUCGCUGUGUUACCCUGGCUGGAGUGCAGUGGCUACUUACAGGCAUGAUCAUAGCAUACUGCAGCCUCGAACUCCUGGACUAGAGCAGUUCUCCUGCCUCAGCCUCCAGAGCAGCUGGGACUGCAGACACGCACCACAGAGCCCAGCCUGAGUCAUUUUGAUUCUGUAACUGGCUUCCUCUCGGCGGGCAGGCUCACACCCUCCACCCCCAGCUGGAGAUGGAAGGAGGAUGCUCACCGCCCAUUCCUCAUGCAGGCCAUCGAUGGAAAUGUCAGACAGUGCGAGUCCACGCCUGAACACUUCUGGGGUCCGCUCUGGGACUGACACUGGCAGAUCCAUCGGUGAGCUCCCGCCUGCCACCUCUGGGCCUGCAUUGCGGUGAUAGGGCCAAGGGCCUGGGCCUUCAAUUCUCCAGACUUGCCAAAAUGCUCAGCGCAGGCCUCGUCGGCAACUGCAGACAAGCAGAGGCAGCACCUGGGCUCUGCCUGUGCCUGGCACAGUGAAGCGAGGGUGGGGGCAGGAAUGAGGGUCCUCUCCAUGCAAGGGGGGAAGAUAGAAGAACAAAAUUUCACCCUAAUGUAGUGUCUUUAGACCGUGCAAUGUUGUGCUCCUGUUAGUCUGAUAUCAGGGGCUUGCAGCCUGGCAAAGGAAAAAAAACAGGCUGAGGCACAUGAUAGAAGACAGGCAGGGAUGCCACAAUCAUAACCAUGGCAAAGACCAGGAUCAGAAAGGCCCACCAUCUCUGACCCCAAAUCCCUGGGCAGAUGGUUCCAGAACUCAGAAUUUUCCCAGUUGUAGAAAGAUGGGGCCAGGUGCAGUGGCUCACGCCUGUAAUCCCAGCAUUUUGGGAGUACAAGGUGGGCGGAUCACCUGAGGUCAGGAGUUCGAGACCAGCCUGGCCAACAUGGUGAAACCCUGUCUCUACUAAAAAAAAAAAAAAAAAUUAGCCGGGCGUGGCGAUGCAUGCCUGUAAUCCCAGCUACUCGGGAGGCUGAGCCAGGAGAAUUGCUUGAACCCGGGAGGCGGAGGUUGCAGUGAGCCAAGAUCGCGCCACUACACUCCAGUCCGGGCGACAGAGCAAGAGUCCAUUCCCCCACCACCAAAAAAAAAAAAAAAAGAAAGAAA
Molecule: long non-coding RNA, 1843 nt
Organism: Homo sapiens (human)
Lineage: Eukaryota; Metazoa; Chordata; Mammalia; Primates; Hominidae
Product: long intergenic non-protein coding RNA 963
Source: Ensembl